UACGUAGGGCGCAAGCGUUGUCCGGAAUUAUUGGGCGUAAAGAGCUCGUAGGCGGCCUGUUGCGUCCGCUGUGAAAUCCCGGGGCUCAACCCCGGGCGUGCAGUGGAUACGGGCUGGCUGGAGGCAGGCAGGGGAGAACGGAAUUCCUGGUGUAGCGGUGAAAUGCGCAGAUAUCAGGAGGAACACCAGUGGCGAAGGCGGUUCUCUGGGCAUUACCUGACGCUGAGGAGCGAAAGUGUGGGGAGCGAACAGG
This 253-nucleotide ribosomal RNA is filed under the name uncultured bacterium. RNAcentral describes it as "partial 16S ribosomal RNA". It matches the Rfam family "Bacterial small subunit ribosomal RNA", at positions 524 to 776 of the family's 1533-position model. The record is from RNAcentral.